AUGCCUGCUUUGGCAGCAUAUAUCUUAAUAUUUGAAUGAUACAGAGAUUAGUUUGGCCUCUGUGCAAGGGAUGACAAACAAAUUUGUGAAAACAUUUUCAUAUUUUU
Molecule: small nuclear RNA, 107 nt
Filed under: Choloepus hoffmanni (Hoffmann's two-fingered sloth)
Lineage: Eukaryota; Metazoa; Chordata; Mammalia; Pilosa; Megalonychidae
Source: RNAcentral